RNA transcript from Balaenoptera acutorostrata (minke whale), 3145 nucleotides. It is a transcript of the gene named HBS1 like translational GTPase, with no coding region annotated. The record is from RefSeq and is a predicted model, not a curated record. Lineage: Eukaryota; Metazoa; Chordata; Mammalia; Artiodactyla; Balaenopteridae. The transcript has 19 exons.
CGCUCAGCGCUGAGGCCUGCCGGAAGCCAAGAUGGCGUAUAGGUGUUUGCCAGGCCGCAGUUGGCGCCUGGUCAGUAUCUGAGCUGGUAGUUUGUAAGCGGCUGUGGCGAACGCCCUCUCCGCGGUCAUGGCCAGGCAUCGGAAUGUCCGAGGCUAUAACUACGAUGAAGAUUUUGAAGAUGAUGAUCUCUAUGGCCAGUCUGUAGAGGAUGAUUAUUGUAUUUCACCAUCAACAGCUGCUCAGUUUAUUUACUCACAACGUGACAAACCUUCAGUUGUUGAACCUGUAGAAGAAUAUGAUUAUGAAGAUUUGAAAGAAUCCUCCAGUUCUCUUUUGAACCAUCAGCUAAGCGGAAUUGAUCAAGCUCGUCUUUUUUCAUGCCUUGAUCACAUGAGAGAGGUACUUGGAGAUGCUGUGCCAGAUGACAUAUUGAUUGAAGCAGUUCUGAAGAACAAGUUUGAUGUGCAAAAGGCUUUGUCAGUGGUUCUGGAGCAAGAUAAAAUGCAGAAUUUGAAGGUCAAGAGUGAGGGAGCAAUAUCUACAGGAAAGAUAGCAAAAGGAAAAUCAAUAGAUUCCCAGUCAUCUCGAAGUGAAUCUGAACUUGUGCCAAAAGUUGCUAAAAUGACUGUAUCUGGAAAGAAGCAAACUAUGGGAUUUGAAGUGCCUGGAGUAACUGCUGAAGAAAAUGGUCAUAUUUUCCACACACCUCAAAAAGGACAUUCUAGUGAAGAUACCAGCCUUGUUUCUUCUGAUGUACUUGAGACCGCUUCUAAAUCAGCUCUUCCAUCCCACACCAUUCAAGCAUCAGAAGAGCAGAGUUCAACACCAACACCAGUGAAAAAGUCUAGCAAGCUGAGGCAACAAAUAGAUAUCAAAGCGGAGCUGGAAAAGCGGCAAGGAGGGAAGCAACUCCUCAACCUAGUGGUCAUUGGUCAUGUUGAUGCUGGGAAAAGUACUCUGAUGGGCCAUUUGCUUUAUCUUCUGGGUAAUGUAAACAAAAGAACUAUGCAUAAGUAUGAACAAGAGUCUAAAAAGGCUGGCAAAGCUUCGUUUGCAUAUGCAUGGGUCUUGGAUGAGACUGGCGAAGAAAGGGAAAGGGGAGUAACAAUGGAUGUUGGUAUGACAAAGUUUGAGACCAAAACCAAAGUUAUUAUAUUAAUGGAUGCUCCAGGCCAUAAGGAUUUCAUUCCAAAUAUGAUUACAGGAGCAGCCCAGGCAGAUGUAGCUGUUUUGGUUGUAGAUGCCAGCAGGGGAGAGUUUGAAGCUGGAUUUGAGACUGGGGGACAAACACGAGAACAUGGCCUCUUGGUUCGUUCUCUGGGAGUGACCCAGCUCGCAGUUGCAGUCAAUAAAAUGGAUCAGGUUAAUUGGCAACAAGAGAGGUUUCAAGAGAUUACUGGAAAACUUGGGCACUUUCUUAAGCAAGCAGGUUUUAAGGAAAGUGAUGUAGCUUUUAUCCCUACAAGUGGUCUCAGUGGUGAAAAUCUAAUCACAAGAUCUCAGUCAAGUGAACUUACAAAAUGGUAUAAAGGACUAUGUUUAUUAGAACAAAUUGAUUCCUUCAGGCCUCCUCGAAGAUCUGUUGACAAGCCUUUUAGAUUAUGUGUAUCUGAUGUUUUCAAAGAUCAAGGAUCUGGAUUUUGUGUAACUGGUAAAAUUGAAGCUGGUUAUAUCCAAACUGGUGACCGACUGCUAGCAGUGCCUCCUAAUGAAACUUGUACUGCAAAAGGAAUCACUCUGCAUGAUGAACCUGUCGACUGGGCGGCAGCGGGCGAUCAUGUUAGUCUCACGUUGGUUGGGAUGGAUGUCAUCAAAAUCAAUGUUGGCUGCAUAUUUUGUGGCCCCAAAGAACCCAUUAAGGUUUGCACUCGUUUCAGAGCCCGAAUCCUCAUCUUUAAUAUUGAAAUUCCUAUCACUAAAGGAUUUCCUGUGCUGUUACACUACCAAACCGUCAGUGAACCUGCCGUUGUUAAACGACUGAUUAGUGUCUUAAACAAAAGCACUGGUGAAGUCACAAAGAAAAAGCCUAAAUUGUUGACCAAAGGCCAGAAUGCAUUGGUGGAGCUACAGACACAAAGACCAGUGGCUCUUGAGCUGUACAAAGACUUUAAAGAGCUGGGGAGAUUCAUGCUGCGCUACAGUGGUUCUACCAUAGCUGCUGGUGUAGUCACCGAGAUACUGCGUUCUACAAAAUGAAGGUUUGUGGCAACCUUGCAUUGAGCAAGUCUGUAAGCACCAUUUUCCCAACAGCAUUUGCUCACUUCAUGUCUCUGUGUCACAUUUUGGUAAUUCUUGCAGUAUUUCAGACUUUUACAUUAUUAUUAUAUUUGUUAUGGCGAUCUGUGAUCAGUAAUCUUUGAUGUUACUCCUACAAAAAGGUUACAACUCACUGAAGGCUCAGAUGAUGGUUAGCCUUUUUUAGCAAUAAAGUAUUUUUAAGUUAAGGUAUGUACAUUGUUUUCUUAGACAUAAUGCUAUUGCACUCUUAAUAGACUAUAGUAUAGUGUAAACAUAACUUUUCUGUGCACUGGGAAACCAAAAAAUUCCUAUGACUUGCUUUAUUGUGAUUCUCACUUUAUCGAGGUGGCCUGGAACGGAACCCACAAUAUCUCCGAGAUAAAAGACUGAUGGGUCAGAAUUUCUACCAUGUUUCUAAACACAAUGGGAUAGCUAACCUCCGUGUUUUGAAAGAAUCCAGUUAUUCAGUUAAAGCAACAGUGUUCAAUUGAUAUUUUUUUAAAUGGGAGAGAAAAUUCAAGCUAUAAUCAGCUGCAAAGAAGUAUCAUUCAUCACUCCUACAAAAAUUUUAAGUUGCCAACUGGCAAAGAAAGGCUAAUAUUGCACUUUCAUUUAAAAAACUAGCUUUUCCUUUGAAAUGUUAGUAAUGGAUUUACCUUGCUGAGACUUACGGAAGUUAUCAGAAAUAUGUGUUAGAAGACAUUGAAUCAUCAUGACGUGAACUCUACUUCCAGCCAAACCACAAAAUGUUUACAGUUUUCUCUUUUGAUUUCAACUUACAACACACAUUUUUAAGGAAGAAUAACUAAAAUGGGUUAUUGAGGUAGUUAAUAUUUGACCUGAGCAGUUUUGUAGUUAACUGUAAGAAAAGAUUUGUUGAAGGCUAAUAAAGGUAUUUUGUGUUGA